UGGGGAAUAUUGGACAAUGGGCGAAAGCCUGAUCCAGCCAUGCCGCGUGUGUGAAGAAGGCCUUUUGGUUGUAAAGCACUUUAAGCGAGGAGGAGGCUACUUAGAUUAAUACUCUAGGAUAGUGGACGUUACUCGCAGAAUAAGCACCGGCUAACUCUGUGCCAGCAGCCGCGGUAAUACAGAGGGUGCGAGCGUUAAUCGGAUUUACUGGGCGUAAAGCGUGCGUAGGCGGCUUUUUAAGUCGGAUGUGAAAUCCCUGAGCUUAACUUAGGAAUUGCAUUCGAUACUGGGAAGCUAGAGUAUGGGAGAGGAUGGUAGAAUUCCAGGUGUAGCGGUGAAAUGCGUAGAGAUCUGGAGGAAUACCGAUGGAGAAGGCAGCCAUCUGGCCUAAUACUGACGCUGAGGUACGAAAGCAUGGGGAGCAAACAGG
RNAcentral lists this ribosomal RNA (430 nucleotides) under bacterium. RNAcentral describes it as "partial 16S ribosomal RNA". It matches the Rfam family "Bacterial small subunit ribosomal RNA", at positions 355 to 776 of the family's 1533-position model. The record is from RNAcentral.